This 239-nucleotide long non-coding RNA is filed under the name Hordeum vulgare. RNAcentral describes it as "long non-coding RNA (HVUL_LNC003544)". The record is from RNAcentral. Lineage: Eukaryota; Viridiplantae; Streptophyta; Magnoliopsida; Poales; Poaceae.
CCCGCGCGGCCCGCGCGCACGGAUACUCGAUAUUCGGCAUGUGCUCCGCUAUAAAUCACCGCCCGCCCCGGUGCGCCCACCUCCGCUUGCUCGCUUCCAUUCAUUUCGCUCGCACAGACGCACCGCACGCACGGUCACGGUGAGUGGAGGGAGAAGGAAGGAGGACGGUCGGAAGGAUUUAGGUGGCGGCUGCGAGGAGGCGAUGGGGUGCGCGCGGACGGUGAAGGCCGGGGCGGCGG